UCCAGGUUAUCCCUGGCGGUCUCCUGCGAGUUCCUGCUCUUUUAAGGGAGCUUGGCAACACAGGACAAGGGUUGCGCUCGUUGCGGGACUUAACCCAACAUCUCACGACACGAGCUGACGACAGCCAUGCAGCACCUCGACUUCAGUCCCUUGCGGGAAGUCUCUGUUUCCAAAGAUGAUCCAAAGCCGUUCGAGCCCAGGUAAGGUUCUUCGCGUUGCGUCGAAUUAAACCACAUGCUCCACCGCUUGUGCGGGCCCCCGUCAAUUCCUUUGAGUUUCAGCCUUGCGACUGUACUCCCCAGGCGGCAUAUUUAACGCGUUAGCUCCGGCACGGAUCAAAUGAAUGACCCACACCAAAUAUGCAUCGUUUAGGGCGUGGACUAC
Molecule: unclassified non-coding RNA, 384 nt
Filed under: uncultured Bryobacterales bacterium
Lineage: Bacteria; Pseudomonadati; Acidobacteriota; Terriglobia; Bryobacterales
Description: contains 16S-23S intergenic spacer region
Source: RNAcentral